RNAcentral lists this RNase P RNA (380 nucleotides) under Streptococcus mutans. RNAcentral describes it as "partial ribonuclease P RNA". It matches the Rfam family "Bacterial RNase P class B". From Rfam's summary of the family: Ribonuclease P (RNase P) is a ubiquitous endoribonuclease, found in archaea, bacteria and eukarya as well as chloroplasts and mitochondria. Its best characterised activity is the generation of mature 5'-ends of tRNAs by cleaving the 5'-leader elements of precursor-tRNAs. Lineage: Bacteria; Bacillati; Bacillota; Bacilli; Lactobacillales; Streptococcaceae. The record is from RNAcentral.
GUGCAAUUUUUGGAUAAUCGCGUGGUAAAUAUUGCAAUUUUAUCAUGAGGAAAGUCCAUGCUAGCACUGGCUGUGAUGCCAGUAGUGUUUGUGCUAGACAAAAAAAUAAGUCUAGGGAUGUGCUUUGCGCAUUACGGCGGAUAAAAUGGCUAAGUCUUUGAUAGGCCGGAGUAAUUCUGAAAGUGCCACAGUGACGUAGCUUUUAUGGAAACAUAAAAGGUGGAACGCGGUAAACCCCUCAAGCUAGCAACCCAAACUUUGGUAGGGGCAUGGAAAAGCUGGAAAAAGAACGGUCUUUUCUGACUGCAUAAGCAGUAGACAGAUGAUUAUCAAAAAAGGUGGUACCUAGUCACCUUUGGAACAAAACAUGGCUUAUAGAA